GGCCCCUUGGUCAAGCGGUUAAGACACUAGCCUCUCACGCUAGAGUCAGGAGUUCGAUUCUCCUAGGGGUCACCA
RNAcentral lists this transfer RNA (75 nucleotides) under Clostridium sp. RNAcentral describes it as "tRNA-Glu". It matches the Rfam family "tRNA". Rfam says of the family: Transfer RNA (tRNA) molecules are approximately 80 nucleotides in length. The record is from RNAcentral. Lineage: Bacteria; Bacillati; Bacillota; Clostridia; Eubacteriales; Clostridiaceae.